GGCCCCAUCGUCUAGUGGCCUAGGACGCAAGAUUCUCAUUCUUGUAACACGGGUUCGACUCCCGUUGGGGUCACCA
This 76-nucleotide transfer RNA is filed under the name Candidatus Orphnella occulta. Its description in RNAcentral is "tRNA-Glu". It matches the Rfam family "tRNA". Rfam says of the family: Transfer RNA (tRNA) molecules are approximately 80 nucleotides in length. Their secondary structure includes four short double-helical elements and three loops (D, anti-codon, and T loops). The record is from RNAcentral. Lineage: Bacteria; Pseudomonadati; Candidatus Omnitrophota.